UCAGGGUCUGCAUGACCCAGUUGGGAACAAGGAUCCCAUGUUGAUUGACUCCCCACCUUGACAAGUAUCUUGUUGUUGGGAUGACCAGCAUGUGACUAUUGGGACAAGAUAGAAGUAUUUACAAAGCCAACAGUUUUGACCAAUUUAUGCGAAUUAGGGCAGAUUUGAGAGUACACUUAAGAGUUUUAAACUUUGUUUGAAAAAACAAAAAACAGUGUUCUUGGAAUAGUUUCUUUGGAGUAGAGCGCAUAAGGCCAAAUUUUAUCUGAUUGUUGGUGAGCACCUGUGGGUUUUUGUGUUCCUUAUGUAGUAUCCCUUAGGUUUGGGUCGAACAAUGUAAACCUUAUCAUUUCCACUGUUUUUAACAUCUCAAAUGAUGUCCCACGUCCUAGGUGCCAAUCCACAAAUGCCCACUCCUACAUCUUCUCCCUCCUCCCUCCAUUUUGCCACUAUGAUGCUGCUCUAAACUCACCCAACUUUUCGAAACCCACCACUCCAGCCUCCUCCUACGUUCGAGCAUCACAUCUCCACAGGACCAAGGGCCUUCCAUCCCAUUGGUUUCAAAUAAUGCCAUCCUCUGAUAUAUAUUGGUUGGUGGUCUAUUUUCUGGGAAGCUCUGGGUCAUCAGCCAGCAUAUAUUGUUCUUCCUCUAUUGCAGGACCUCUCUGUCACAGGACAUCCACUGUUUAAGCACCACCACUACCUCAGGAAGUCCACUGUCUGUGUGUCAACUCCCACUGUUACAGGACCACAAGUGUCUCAGCACUUCAACUAUCACAGCACUUCUACUGUUCAGGAGCUCAAGAGUCUCAGCAUCUCAAGUGUCACAGGACCUCCUUUGUCCAAGAACUGGACUGUCCAAGCAAUACUGCUAUUGCGGGACCUCCACUGUCACAGGAUUUCCACUGUAGGAGCACUACAACUGUCUCAGGACACCCACUGUCCUAUAACCUCCACUAUCCCAGGAAUUCCACUGUCGUAGCACCACCCGUAGCAACUAAAGUGUUUCAGGACAUCAACUGAAGCAAGAUCUCCCAUGAUUCUGCAACUUCACUGCCCCAGGAUCUCUACAGUGACAGGAAUACUUCUGUAUCAGCAAUUCCAAUUUUGCAGGACCUCCACUGUAGCAGAACCUCAAUUGUGCAGCAGCUCCCCUGUAUGUAGAUUGACCUCCACGAUCUCAGUGCCUCCACUUUCAAAGGACCUUCACUGUCACAGAACCGGCGCUAUUUCAGUGCCUCCACUGUCGCAGGACCUACCUCUUCACAGGAUCUGCACUGUUGCAGCAACUGUAAUUUCAAUUUUUCAAAGUCAUUGCUGGUUAUUAGAUUUCAGGCUGAAUGAAAUGAGAUGUUACUUUUGAAAGCAUAAGAAUUUGUUCUAUACCUCUUGUGAUAAAUGCCGUGUUUGCUAGGACCAGUAAACUAUGGAAGACUUCUUCAGCUCAUACCACUCUCCACCUCACUUUGUGGAAGCUGGUGUUUUUAGAGUGUGAUAAACUUCAGGUGAAUGGAUGCAUUCAGCUGCACCACGCUCUAGAGUGGACUACACAGCAGUCAUAUUGAGUCCUUGCUGGGAAGAGAAGAAAUCCAGAAGAAGGAGAAGGCUUGGGUUGGGGGAAGAAUCAUAAAAUACUUAGAGGAUAUUAGAAGGUAAGAAUUAUGGGGAACUGGAAAACAGAGCCAAAGGAAGAAUGAGCACAGAGCAAACUGGGAAGGACAAAGUACAAAGGCACUUGGGUUUUGCCAUCUGCGUGUUCUCUGGACAAUCUCCCUGGGCCACAUUUCUGGGAGAAAACUCUUCCCCCACCCCCUUGUAAGGUUUCAUUCUUGAAGGAAAGCAGCAACACAACUUCAUCAGUGAAUUUCCCCAUUGGAAUUGGUUCAUCCUUUAAUGCUUCUGGGAAAUCCCGAGCUGGGGAAUGUCCUGCUCUCUGCUGAGAGACAGCAGGAAAGUAGGUCGUCCUCUGUUUUCUCGUUGCUACAGCUCUUCUAAGUAUGGCUGAUUGUUGAGUGAAGACACAGGAUACUUCUGGUGUGUAUGUAUGCUUUGUUCACUGUGGGUGUUGUUGGGAGUGUCCUGAAAAGAAGGGCAUGCCCAAUGGCACUUCUGCUUCCUCUUUGACUAGCCUUAUGAUCAUAGGGAGACACUAGGCCAUUGGAAGAUGAGGAGAGCAAUGUGUCUAAGUUGUGUUCACUUCUAUUCCUAUUUAGUCCUAGAGGGAAAUCAGCAAGGGUGUGAGGAAUGCUGCUGUGCACUGACUGUGUGGUGUGAGGAAUGCUGCUGUGCACUGACUGUGUGGUGUGAGGAAUGCUGCUGUGCACUGACUGUGUGGUGUGAGGAAUGCUGCUGUGCACUGACUGUGUGGUGUGAGGAAUGCUGCUGUGCACUGACUGUGUGCUGUGAGGAAUGCUGCUGUGCAUUGACGCUGCCUUUUUUCUUUUCUCCCUACACCUGCAUCCUUCUGGUGGCUCAGGUUGGACAACUAGGUGCCCAUGACCAACUCCUCAUUGUGGAUGGAUUUAGUCUGGUUGGACUUUCUCAGGAAAGGCAGCUGAACUCAUGACUAGUACCAGUUCCACGGUUACCCUGGAAGUUGCAAAUCAAGACAUCCUCUCUCACUGCCUGUCCACCUUUCUUACCAACCCAUUGUCCUCCAUGGUGCAGAGAGAUCAGCCUCCUAUUCCUGGAGAGAAGUGUGCAUAUACCACUAGAACAGCAGCUAACAUCUGUCUCCACUGGAGACCUCUGCACUGAGGUCUGAGAUGACCUGGAACACUUUCUUACUUGUGAAAUAUCUGACUUCUUUGAUACAGUUCUCAACAAAUUACAUUAACUAUCAUUCCUGAAUUUUGUUCACUGAAGUUUUAUUUUUAUUACGCUACUCAAGUAAACUAAUACUAAAUUAUUGAAUCUGGGAAAAUGAGAAUUAGUGUAAAUGAGUAAAUAAGAAAAUGUGAAAUGUUUUUUUAUUGAAAGCAUAGGGUCAACAUUACAUUUUUAGCACAGCAUUUAAAAUACAUGCUUUUUAGAAAACCAUUUAUUUAUUUCCUUUAUAAUCCAAUAUUAGCCCUUCCUGUCUUCCCAGUAACCCACCAUACAAAUCUUCCCUCCAUCGCCCUUUCCUGAAAUGGCAAAGCUCCUUUCGGGAUUUCAACCCCCUUGAAUGCUUUUUAAAAGAUUGUAAAACAGAUCCCUGAGGAAAAAGUACGCCUUUUAUGCAGGUUUAAGCAUCUGAUUGUUUAUUUCUUUACAUUUCACAAGAGCAGACCCCUCAACCUAGACCUGGUUAGGAGCUAAAUUGCAGGAGUGACAAUGCCACAAACAGCAUGCAUCAGUGUAUAGAAAAAUCUUUUUAUUCCUUCAUAGACACAGGAACAGCUGGCUACUUGGCGGGUGAGCCAUAAAGCAGUGUCAGGUCUGGUUAUUCACCCAUUCCCCAGUUUUUGUUACCUCCUCUGUGAGGAAGAAACAUGCAUGAAAUUUUGCUAACAUCUCUGGUGAGUCCCUGAAGUAGUAGAGCUUCCUCUUUUCUUUUCUCAGCCUCUUACCACUUCCAAGGAAGAACUUCAGGAAGAGUUUUACCUACUUGAGCUCCAUUGAGUAGAGGCUGGCAAGGGUCUCUAGUGUGACAGUAAUAUGUGGAUCCAGAGCUCCUCAUUGGAAUCUGUGACAUCCAGACAGGAGCACCUGAACCCUUCCUCCAAGUCAGUUACCCCUGCUUCCACUCUGACUAAGAGUGGUCCUGGCCAUUGGGAAACCCCAGCAGAGGUGCUGGCCACCACUGUUACUGUCUCCCAGCCCAUAUGAACAGACCUCCCUCCACCACCUCCUCUACCACAGGUCCACUACACCAGAUUUUGGCGGCAUUUUAGUGGAUUUGCCCCUCCCACCACCUUCUGCAAACAAGGCAGGAUCCCAGUCUGUUCAGGUGGCUGCUGGCUAGCAAAAGAGAGUGAGGAGCAGCAGCGGUGGUCUGAGAUAUAGAAGGCCUGCCUGGACAAGGAAGCAGAGAGGAAGCACAGGGAGCAGGAGAGGAAUGGGUGACAGAUGCACUCUCAUUCCCUGAACCUGCUUCCUUCUCUUCUUUGACCACACCGACCAAACCAGGAAAACCUUCCACACUGCAGAGGCCCAAGAAACAGUCAUUCUGGUGUUGUAGUCCCCGCAGCAGCCCCCCACUAUUGAGCACAGGGAUCUGCAGUUCAUAACUAUCAGUAAAGAGGAGUUGUCCUCUGGGGAGUCUGUCUCCAGACCCAUGGAAACAAGAUGCCAGGGAGAAGCUGGAGAAGCAACAGCAAAUGCACCUUGUGGAUAUGCUAAGCAAGGAGAUCCAUGAGCUGCAAAACAAGGGGGACGGUAGUGCAGAGGAGAGUGACUGCCUGUGGAAGAAUAUGCUGGAGUGGCAGUUCCAGAAGAGACUUCAGACCAUAUUUCUUGUGUUUCUCCCAGGUUCAUUUCAGAAUACUGUUCAAGAAGCUCAACAUUUGUCGUUUACAUAGUAGAAAUUUAUAACAACAAUGUUUUUGCCCUUCUUGCCUUAGACAGUUCUACAGUGGUGUCUAUGGUUAAGUGCCAGGCAGUGAGAACCCAGGAGUGAUAUUCAGAGGUACAAAGGAUGACCUGCAGGCCUGUCAUCAGUGCCUUGGCGUUUGUGGGACUCAUCCACAGAGGCAUGCAACUCAGAGAACGGUACCCCAACUUGGUGCACAGGAACUCUUUCAGGUGUCACUUGAUUGUCACAGGUUUCUGCUCGGUCAGCAAGGAAGGGAAGCCUAGCCCUGUGCCAGGAAUGACUGCAUAUGGUCAACACACACUACCCUGGAAGACCCGAGAGUUCAAGGACGGCCAACUUUCACUUAAGCAAACUUGUCCACAGACUGCGUGGGUCCCAUCAGCUGAGAGUAGCCUCCACAUUGCAGUGAUGUGCAAACUUCUGCCUUUCAGCCAUGAUGGACUUUAGGAUCUAACCUGAGGACCCUACACAAGGCACAGGUAGGUGAUGUGUAAAUGAGGCAUGUUACUGGGUCAGGUCUUCAGUGCAGUGUCUUAAGCUGUCAGGCUUUUGGGAGGGCAUAUGCUUCUCUAUUAAAUGAGCUGGCUUCUCUGAAGGCCUCAACUCUGCUGUGUCUGCCGCUCAUGCUCCCUCCUCCAAGAAUCUAACUGUCCCUAGCUCUCUGUGACUGGCUGGUCAGUCAGCCUUCAUGCCACUCCACAGCCACUCUACAACACAGAGCCCACACUGUCCUCUGCAGAAGUUUCACAGGGCUGCUGCUUUAGUCUCUCUGUUGCGCUAUGGGGGUCCAAAGUCAAGUUUCUUAGGUCCCUAGGUGUCCCUGAAAAGGCUCUAGAACAAGGAAGAGGUGAAGAAAUCAGGAAAUAAACUCCUGCAGUACUUCAUGACUACCACUGGAGGGCUCUACACCUUUCUGGUCCUAGUGUGCCACUCAGCAAGCCCUCUCACUCACUCUAAGGUUCUGAGCCUGAUGGAGAGGACUCCUGCUAAACCCAGUGUUCCCAAGAAACUGGCUGUACCGGCAGGGCUAACUGUAGAGGAUUCUCCACGACCCUGAGAACACAAUUUGGAAAUCUCAGGUAGGCAGGGUGUGUGGGGGAGCAACCAGGGCUGGAUGGAGACCUUACCCAGAA
Molecule: small RNA, 5649 nt
Filed under: Rattus norvegicus (Norway rat)
Lineage: Eukaryota; Metazoa; Chordata; Mammalia; Rodentia; Muridae
Description: uncharacterized LOC102556873
Source: RNAcentral